AGAGAUACAAGAAAUUAAGGGGAAGGAAGAGACAGAAUGAAGUUUUUCUCUCCAUCAGUAGCAGCAAUGGUGCUGUUGAUUCUUCUGAGCACAAGCCAUUGCAGAGCUAGUGUUCAAAGGAUGACGGAUGGCGAACACUUCUCCAUAGGGGAUACCAACAUGGAGUUCGAGUUCAUGAUGGACUCCGAGUUUGGUAGAAUACUUGCUGCUGCUGCUCCUCUUGUUGAUCGUAAGCCUUUAAGGAAUAAACCAGUUUUUCCUUGUGGCAAAGCCCAAAACUACUGCCUCCCAACAAAAGAUGCUAAAAAGUGCCGGGGGAAGUACGACCGGGGUUGCAAACGCUUUUAAUUAGCUGAUUUUACUAGUAUAGCCAUGCGCGGCCGUUUCUUCAACCAUCUUUCUCUCUGUACUAUUCCCUGCAGGUGGAGUAUUGGUCUUUAUAAAUAAAAUUAUCAGUCAUGUAUUCUUCUCAUCUUUUCUAAUUUUCAUCUAGUGAUAUCCCAGCAUCUACUUUGGUUUCUUUAUUUCUCUUGUUUGGAUAUCAAUUUAGAGAGAAAAAAGAACAGAAAGGAAAAAAAAGAAGGAGAAAUUACAUUUCUCCUCGCCAUUGCAUCAACACAAAAAAAGUUGUUUAUAUUGAAAUUACUUCAAAAACCUUUAAUUACUUUAAUAAAAAAAUCGUCACCCAUCUAUUUCAUUUCUGCUCCUCUUUGCUGUAGAAAAUGUCUCCCAUCCUCCAUCAUUCUGCUCUUAUUUUUGCCGCAGAAAAAUGUGUGAAGGAAGGGCAUAGAUCUUGCUGAAGCACAAAUACAGUUGUUGUGCUUGUUAUGACUAUAUAACAACCAACACUGCUGCUUUUCUUUUUUCACCUAAUGCUAUUUUUUCAAAUGAUACUGCAGCAAGGGUGCUUUUUAGUGAUAUUGCAUUGCCAUUGGGAGGCCAAUUGCUUUAAAUUGCAUAUGUUGAUGUGUGGAAACAUUGCAAAUAUUGCUGUAGUCUAUGCCUUUGGGAAGUGCUUGAAGCUUCAUACUACUCCAGAUUGCCAUAUUAUUUGUAUCCUAAAAUGUAAAUAUUGAUUCACAUUG
This 1085-nucleotide unclassified non-coding RNA is filed under the name Hevea brasiliensis (rubber tree). The record is from RNAcentral. Lineage: Eukaryota; Viridiplantae; Streptophyta; Magnoliopsida; Malpighiales; Euphorbiaceae.